Long non-coding RNA from Papaver somniferum (opium poppy), 1771 nucleotides. RefSeq lists it as uncharacterized. The record is from RefSeq and is a predicted model, not a curated record. NCBI's taxonomy places the organism in Eukaryota, Viridiplantae, Streptophyta, Magnoliopsida, Ranunculales, Papaveraceae. The transcript has 2 exons.
UAGGUUAAAAAUAUUUGUGCCCAUGCUUGCCCAAAUUUAACUCGGGUUCAUAAAAUUUAUAUCGAAGUUUGCCCAAAGUUUUGAAAUACGUUGCCCAUGUCCGCCCAACGUUCGAGUUGGCCAUUGAUUGGGUGGGUUGACCCAACCUGUAAGGACCCUCAAACUCGUCAACACUAUUUGACUGGUCUAGCAAUGACCAAGAGAAGUUUUAGCCGCUGAUGACACGAUUAGUUGACAUAGAUUUUAAUCAAUAGAAAUUAAUAUAACAAUAAUUCAGAUUCAAAACUAGUAUCAUUAGAUAUAUCUCUAAAGAUUACGGGAAAUGGACUACUCGAACGCGUCAUUCAGAUACCGAACAAAGAGGAUAUCUUUAGAUAUGUAUGAAGGGCAUUUUAACCAACCUGGCUGCCCUUAUCCUUUUAGUGGUGCUUUAGCAUUUUUAGUCGGCCUUAUCUUCACAACCGAGGAAGAGAAAUUCAUUCUUCUCUUCUUUUCUUCUUUCUUCUUUCUUCUUCCUCUCUUUCUCCUGUUCUUCUCAGCUCAUGUUUCUGUGAGAGGAUUUUGUGUUUUUGAGAUCGGAAACUUAAAGGAAACAAUAGGAAUUGAAUUUUGGUGGUGAUGUUGAUAUUAUUUAAGCCCGGGAGAAGGAGUGGAUGCUGCUGUAAGAUUUGAACUAGGAUUUGAGAAUGAGUUCGAGUUUAUAGGUGAACUGAUGGGUUGAUAGAGCUGUGGAUGGAUGAAGAACUCGAGGGUUUUGGACGAAUUAUUGUAUUGAAGUUGUUCUAAUGAUUAUUUGAAAAUCUAGGGUUUCUGUUCUUCCCCAAAAUUGAGAUUAAGAUUUUAUAGAUGGAGAUUAAGAAGAAUUGAGGAGUGGGUUUAGAUGAUUGAGGAGAAAGAUCAAGUUAAUUAGAUGUUAUGGAGUUGUUCUGUAGAAGAAAUGAAGAAUUAAGAAUUUCGAUUCAAGAAAUGUUGAGAGUGACCAUUUUUUGGUUGGAGCCUAGCCAACACCGUGUAUGUUGCAGCUAGGAGUGGACUACUUGAUCAAUAAUCAAGGUGAAUAAAUGUAAGUAAAUGUUCGUUUCAAGGUAUUUUCUUAUACAUUACAAAGGACUAUUUAGCUAUGAGUUACAAACCACUAUUCAAGUAGGACUAAAACUAAAAAAAAAGGAAUUGGAUACACCGAAAAACAUGCAUUAGUUACAACAUGUGGCUUAUGUUGUCGCUAAUUAGAAUUUUUCAUCACUAAAUGUUUCAUAGGUCCAGUUUCUCCCACAUUAAUUUUUUAAGUUGGUGUGAAUCGCUUGCUUUUUUUUCUUUUCUAUUUCCCACUAAUGUAGACUUUUCAUCUAUGUUUCAAGAAGCAGAGAGUAUGAACAAUAUUGACUCUACUGAUGGUGCCUUAAGGAAAUCAACUUUUUGUGCAGUGGUUUUUUAUUCUUAUUUGUAAACAACACUACAAGAAAAGAGGCCUUUGACAACGGACAUUCGGCAAAGUUUCGCAAAACGUUGCAUUUUUUACCACACGCAUUAUUUGUUUUUAAAGGUGAUUUUGCAUGAUUUCGCUUAUUUAUUUGGAUAUAACUCCGAAGGAAACAUGUUCGGGAUGUGAAGUUGCAUCGAAGCUGCAAGGCAUCUCACAAUUAAUAGUCCAAUGUUUUAGCAAUUUUAUUGAUUUCGGGAUGAUGGUUAACGUAAUGCUAAAAUAUAGACCCUAUGUUUCCACUGUCCAAAUACUUUGGUGAUAAGCUUUUCUUUUCUGCAGUCUCUUUUA